RNAcentral lists this ribosomal RNA (613 nucleotides) under uncultured bacterium. RNAcentral's name for it is "bacterial SSU rRNA". It matches the Rfam family "Bacterial small subunit ribosomal RNA", at positions 8 to 612 of the family's 1533-position model. The record is from RNAcentral.
AGAGUUUGAUCCUGGCUCAGGAUGAACGCUAGCGGCAGGCUUAACACAUGCAAGUCGAGGGGUAACAGGUUUUAGUUUACUAGAAUGCUGACGACCGGCGCACGGGUGAGUAACGCGUAUACAAUUUACCUUUUACAGGGGGAUAGCCUUUAGAAAUGAAGAUUAAUACCCCAUGGUAUUAUAGAUUGGCAUCAAUUUAUGAUUAAAGCUUCGGCGGUAAGAGAUGAGUAUGCGUCCUAUUAGCUAGAUGGUAAGGUAACGGCUUACCAUGGCGACGAUAGGUAGGGGUCCUGAGAGGGAGAUCCCCCACACUGGUACUGAGACACGGACCAGACUCCUACGGGAGGCAGCAGUGAGGAAUAUUGGACAAUGGAGGCAACUCUGAUCCAGCCAUGCCGCGUGCAGGAAGACGGCCCUAUGGGUUGUAAACUGCUUUUAUAGAGGAAGAAACCUGGGGACGUGUCCCUGGCUGACGGUACUCUACGAAUAAGCACCGGCUAACUCCGUGCCAGCAGCCGCGGUAAUACGGAGGGUGCAAGCGUUAUCCGGAAUCAUUGGGUUUAAAGGGUCCGUAGGCGGGCGAUUAAGUCAGAGGUGAAAUCCCACAGCUCAA